RNAcentral lists this unclassified non-coding RNA (267 nucleotides) under uncultured fungus. Its description in RNAcentral is "partial contains small subunit ribosomal RNA, internal transcribed spacer 1, and 5.8S ribosomal RNA". The stretch from base 1 to 73 matches the Rfam family "Eukaryotic small subunit ribosomal RNA", at positions 1759 to 1831 of the family's 1831-position model. Lineage: Eukaryota; Fungi. The record is from RNAcentral.
GCAAACUUGGUCAUUUAGAGGAAGUAAAAGUCGUAACAAGGUCUCCGUUGGUGAACCAGCGGAGGGAUCAUUAUCGAGUUCUUCUCGUCCAACCCUUGCGAACCUUACCUAUAUGCCUCGGCGGACGCGGGCGGCCCCUCUCCGGGUGCCCAGCCCCGCCCGUCGCAGGACCUUAAACUCUUGUUUAACCUGAUUCUGAAGAACUAGCAAAUAGUUAAAACUUUCAACAACGGAUCUCUUGGUUCUGGCAUCGAUGAAGAACGCAGC